CUGAAGUUGAAAGGCGCUUUUGGUGCCGUUGAUGGAUGGGCCUGCGGCGCAUUAGCUGGUUGGUGGGGUAACGGCUCACCAAGGCGACGAUGCGUAGCCGACCUGAGAGGGUGAUCGGCCACACUGGGACUGAGACACGGCCCAGACUCCUACGGGAGGCAGCAGUAGGGAAUCUUCCGCAAUGGACGCAAGUCUGACGGAGCAACGCCGCGUGAGUGAAGAAGGGUUUCGGCUCGUAAAACUCUGUUGUUAAGGAAGAAUGUCAGUGAGAGUAACUGCUCAUUGAGUGACGGUACUUAACCAGAAAGCCACGGCUAACUACGUGCCAGCAGCCGCGGUAAUACGUAGGUGGCAAGCGUUAUCCGGAAUUAUUGGGCGUAAAGCGCGCGUAGGCGGUUUCUUAAGUCUGAUGUGAAAGCCCCCGGCUCAACCGGGGAGGGUCAUUGGAAACUGUUUCGCUUGAGUGCAGAAGAGGAGAGUGGAAUUCCAUGUGUAGCGGUGAAAUGCGCAGAGAUAUGGAGGAACACCAGUGGCGAAGGCGGCUCUCUGGUCUGCAACUGACGCUGAUGUGCGAAAGCGUGGGGAUCAAACAGGAUUAGAUACCCUGGUAGUCCACGCCGUAAACGAUGAGUGCUAAGUGUUAGGGGGUUUCCGCCCCUUAGUGCUGCAGCAAACGCA
Molecule: ribosomal RNA, 678 nt
Filed under: uncultured bacterium
Lineage: Bacteria
Description: bacterial SSU rRNA
Rfam family: Bacterial small subunit ribosomal RNA
Source: RNAcentral